UCUCCGAUACAAACCAACCCCCCCUCCCUUCUCCCCCCCCCCCCGUGCUCGCCGAAUGAUUUCAACUCUCGCUAAGCGGUUUAAUGUCGCCGCAUUUUCAAUUUAAAACGACCGAAACUCUUUCUGCCCCGUCCUCUUCAAGACGCCAUCGCUUCGUUACCGUUGCGACGAGUGGAUUAACCAACUCCGCCUCAUCAUUUGGUGCGCGCAGUGACAAGGACGGCAACGUGGGAAUGUUGGCCGAUACAAACUGAUCCACCACCUUAUCAACAGCAGCAUCAGCAGAAGCCACUACAUCGCUAUCAACAGCAUCAUCAGCAGAAGCAGCCACUACAUCGCUAUCAACAGCAUCAUCAGCAGAAGCAGCCACUACAUCGCUAUCAAC
This is a non-coding RNA of Petromyzon marinus (sea lamprey), 385 nucleotides long. NCBI's taxonomy places the organism in Eukaryota, Metazoa, Chordata, Hyperoartia, Petromyzontiformes, Petromyzontidae. The record is from RefSeq and is a predicted model, not a curated record.